This 72-nucleotide transfer RNA is filed under the name Omalisus fontisbellaquei. RNAcentral describes it as "tRNA-Lys". Lineage: Eukaryota; Metazoa; Arthropoda; Insecta; Coleoptera; Omalisidae. The record is from RNAcentral.
CAUUAGAUGACUGAAAAGCAAGUAUUGGCCUCUUAAGCCAUUUAAAAAUAGAAUAGCAACUAUUUCUAAUGA